Streptomyces violaceusniger Tu 4113 is the source of this 75-nucleotide non-coding RNA. The record is from Rfam. NCBI's taxonomy places the organism in Bacteria, Bacillati, Actinomycetota, Actinomycetes, Kitasatosporales, Streptomycetaceae.
CUUGAUGGAGCCCAGCCACAGCGGCUGGUCCUCGGUCUUCUCCUUGCCAUAGGUGGCGAGCAGCGCCUGCGCCUC